RNAcentral lists this ribosomal RNA (725 nucleotides) under uncultured bacterium. RNAcentral describes it as "bacterial SSU rRNA". It matches the Rfam family "Bacterial small subunit ribosomal RNA", at positions 69 to 789 of the family's 1533-position model. The record is from RNAcentral.
GCAGCACGGGGGCAACCCUGGUGGCGAGUGGCGAACGGGUGAGUAAUAUAUCGGAACGUACCCAAGAGUGGGGGAUAACGUAGCGAAAGUUACGCUAAUACCGCAUACGAUCUAAGGAUGAAAGCAGGGGACCGUAAGGCCUUGCGCUCCUGGAGCGGCCGAUAUCUGAUUAGCUAGUUGGUAGGGUAAAAGCCUACCAAGGCAUCGAUCAGUAGCUGGUCUGCGAGGACGACCAGCCACACUGGGACUGAGACACGGCCCAGACUCCUACGGGAGGCAGCAGUGGGGAAUUUUGGACAAUGGGGGCAACCCUGAUCCAGCAAUGCCGCGUGAGUGAAGAAGGCCUUCGGGUUGUAAAGCUCUUUUGUCAGGGAAGAAACGGUUUGUUCUAAUAAAGCAGACUAAUGACGGUACCUGAAGAAUAAGCACCGGCUAACUACGUGCCAGCAGCCGCGGUAAUACGUAGGGUGCAAGCGUUAAUCGGAAUUACUGGGCGUAAAGCGUGCGCAGGCGGUUAUGUAAGACAGAUGUGAAAUGCCCGGGCUCAACCUGGGAACUGCAUUUGUGACUGCAUGGCUAGAGUGUGUCAGAGGGGGGUAGAAUUCCACGUGUAGCAGUGAAAUGCNUAGAGAUGUGGAGGAAUACCGAUGGCGAANGCNGCCCCCUGNGAUAACACUGACGCUCAUGCACGAAAGCGUGGGGAGCAAACAGGAUUAGAUACCCUG